ACGGAGAUGGGGGGGCUUCCCUAAAAAUUGCAAGUCGGAGCGGACAGAUGGGAGCUUGCUCCCCUGAUGUUAGCGGCGGACGGGUGAGUAACACGUGGGUAACCUGCCUGUAAGACUGGGAUAACUCCGGGAAACCGGGGCUAAUACCGGAUGGUUGUUUGAACCGCAUGGUUCAGACAUAAAAGGUGGCUUCGGCUACCACUUACAGAUGGACCCGCGGCGCAUUAGCUAGUUGGUGAGGUAACGGCUCACCAAGGCAACGAUGCGUAGCCGACCUGAGAGGGUGAUCGGCCACACUGGGACUGAGACACGGCCCAUACUCCUACGGGAGGCACCGUAGGGAAUCUUCCGCAUUGGACGAAAGUCUGACGGAGCAACGCCGCGGGAGUGAUGAAGGUUUUCGGAUCGUAAAGCUCUGUUGUUAGGGAAAAACAAGUGCCGUUCAAAUAGGGCGGCACCUUGACGGUACCUAACCAGAAAGCCACGGCUAAUUACGUGCCGCAGCCGCGGUAAUACGUAGGUGGCAAUCGUUGUCCAGAAAUUAUUGGGCGUAAAAGGGCUCGCAGGCGGUUUCUUAAUUCUGAUGUGAAAAGCCCCCGGCUCAACCGGGGAGGGUCAUUGGAAACUGGGGGAACUUGAGUGCAAAAAGGAGAGUGGAAUUCCACGUGUAUCGGUGAAAUGCGUAAAAUGUGGAGGAACACCAGUGGCAAAGGCGAUUCUCUGGUCUGUAACUGACGCUCAGGAGCGAAAUCGUGGGGAACGAACCGGAUUAGAUACCCUGGGUAUCCCCCCCUAAACGAUGAUUGCCCAGUGUUAGGGGGUUUCCCCCCCCUUAUGCUGCCA
This 843-nucleotide ribosomal RNA is filed under the name Bacillus vallismortis. Its description in RNAcentral is "bacterial SSU rRNA". It matches the Rfam family "Bacterial small subunit ribosomal RNA", at positions 29 to 851 of the family's 1533-position model. The record is from RNAcentral. RNAcentral also lists the same sequence under 1 other name. Lineage: Bacteria; Bacillati; Bacillota; Bacilli; Caryophanales; Bacillaceae.